RNAcentral lists this ribosomal RNA (121 nucleotides) under Oncorhynchus mykiss (rainbow trout). The record is from RNAcentral. Lineage: Eukaryota; Metazoa; Chordata; Actinopteri; Salmoniformes; Salmonidae.
GCUUACGGCCACACCGGCCUGAGUACGCAUGAUCUCGUCCGAUCUCGGAAGCUAAGCAGGGUCGGGCCCUGGUUAGUACUUGGAUGGGAGACCGCCCUGGGAAUACCAGGUGCUGUAAGCU